RNAcentral lists this microRNA precursor (81 nucleotides) under Otolemur garnettii (small-eared galago). RNAcentral describes it as "miRNA (ENSOGAG00000030650.1)". The record is from RNAcentral. Lineage: Eukaryota; Metazoa; Chordata; Mammalia; Primates; Galagidae.
GAGAGUUUGUGUGUGUGUGUGUGUGUGUGUGUGCGCGCGCGUGCGUGCGCACAUAGGCAUACACACAUGCACACACACAAG